Molecule: ribosomal RNA, 253 nt
Filed under: uncultured bacterium
Lineage: Bacteria
Description: partial 16S ribosomal RNA
Rfam family: Bacterial small subunit ribosomal RNA
Source: RNAcentral
UACGGAGGGUGCAAGCGUUAAUCGGAAUUACUGGGCGUAAAGGGUGCGUAGGUGGUUAAAUAAGUUAUCUGUGAAAUCCCUGGGCUCAACCUGGGAGGUGCGCUUGAUACUCGAGGGCUUGAGUGCGGGAGAGGAGAGUGGAAUUCCCAGUGUAGAGGUGAAAUUCGUAGAUAUUGGGAAGAACACCGGUGGCGAAGGCGGCUCUCUGGACCGUAACUGACGCUGAGGCGCGAAAGCGUGGGGAGCAAACAGG